This 75-nucleotide transfer RNA is filed under the name Nicotiana sylvestris (wood tobacco). It matches the Rfam family "tRNA". Rfam says of the family: Transfer RNA (tRNA) molecules are approximately 80 nucleotides in length. Their secondary structure includes four short double-helical elements and three loops (D, anti-codon, and T loops). The record is from Rfam by way of RNAcentral. Lineage: Eukaryota; Viridiplantae; Streptophyta; Magnoliopsida; Solanales; Solanaceae. RNAcentral also lists the same sequence under 1 other name.
GGGCUUGUAGCUCAGAGAAUUGGAGCACAUGGCUACGAACAAUAAUGUCGGGGGUUUCGAGUCCCUCCUCGCCCA